AUAUCGCGCAAAUCUGUUGUCUGGACCUUUUGCAACUUGACGGUCCCAUCUGAAAUCUGUCAAAACAUAAUCAAAAUUUCAGAUGGGACCUUUGGUAACAAUGUUGAAAUUCUGAUUUUUUUAAAAUAUUUAAAGUAUUUUCUAGUGCAAGUAUCAUAAGACACCAGAGAUAUCAGUGCAGGAACAAACAAGGAACUUUUGAAAUUCCAUACUUCAGGGAACUACCAGUGGGGCGUGCCAAUGCCAUCAGAGUACCCAGGAAGAACAUCCCGAAUGAAAUGGAUAAUUUCCCGUUUUAUUUGGAUACACAUUCGAUCAAUCGCACCCAUUCUACAAGCAAGGUAAACCACAUUGAGGAGUUAAACUCCGCUCUUUUAAGACAGAUAUAAACCUUCAAUUCCACGGAGAAACUUUGGAGGACUUCAUAGUUAUAACCAAAUGACCUCAUUCGAUUCUACCCCGUGUACUCUGCUAAUGCAUGAUGUGCUUUAGAUACGAACAAAUUGAAUCGAAACAGGAAGCUCUGUGUUGUUGCGCUCAUCAAGGAAAUUAAUGGAAAGGAUCAUAUAGUGCCGUCGAAGGUACACCGAAGCUUGGAAUGUGAAGUUUUCGCGGAAACAAGUGUCUACCGCCACCGAUGAGUUGUUGGCCGAAAGUGUUCCUGUACAUAAAUAAAACCAGUUCACAAACGUAUUUCUGCUGCUAAAGCUUAAAAAAUGUCCCUUGAUGUUAUAUUUUAGU
Long non-coding RNA from Armigeres subalbatus, 741 nucleotides. RefSeq lists it as uncharacterized. Lineage: Eukaryota; Metazoa; Arthropoda; Insecta; Diptera; Culicidae. The record is from RefSeq and is a predicted model, not a curated record. The transcript has 3 exons.